Molecule: long non-coding RNA, 261 nt
Organism: Amblyraja radiata (thorny skate)
Lineage: Eukaryota; Metazoa; Chordata; Chondrichthyes; Rajiformes; Rajidae
Exons: 3
Source: RefSeq, a predicted model, not a curated record
AUGGAACAGGUGACAUUUCGAGUCGAGACUCUUCAUCUAUCCAUAUUCUCAAGGGAUGCUGCCUGUCCUGCUGAGUUGUCCCAGCACUUUGUGUCCUUUUGUACUUAAUUUAUUGAAACAUGUUAACAAGAAGAAUUAUAUCUCUCUGCAGGACUAAUCAGGAAUGUGAAAUAAUAUGGGCUAAAAUUGAAUGCAUGAUUUAUAUGCUGAAAAAUGUAGGCACAAGGAAUUUCAGAUGCUGGUUUACAAAAAAAGACACAG